This 200-nucleotide ribosomal RNA is filed under the name uncultured bacterium. RNAcentral describes it as "partial 16S ribosomal RNA". It matches the Rfam family "Bacterial small subunit ribosomal RNA", at positions 8 to 225 of the family's 1533-position model. The record is from RNAcentral.
AGAGUUUGAUCCUGGCUCAGAAUCAACGCUGGCGGCGUGCCUAACACAUGCAAGUCGAACGAGAAAGUCCGCAAGGAUGAGUAAAGUGGCGACCGGGUGAGUAACACGUGACUAACCUACCUCCGAAUGGGGAAUAACUCCGGGAACCGGGGCUAAUACCGCAUAACACCGCAAGGUCAAAGCAGCAAUGCGUUUGGAGA